GCAGGAGUGAGGGCAGGAGCGAGCAAGGCAGUAAGGUACAGCGAAAGAAAAUAUUUUUCAAAUGCCCUUCCCUGGGUGGAAGGAAUAUCACACCUGGGGCACUGGGAAGGAGGAUAUGGAACAACUGUCCAGGAACAGAGGACAGAGGGGCUGGCACGGGGCUCUGAGCAGGUCAUGGAAGGAGCUGGCCUGAUGAGCACAUACCCAUGCCCCUCACGCAACAGGACUGUCCCUGUUCUGUCCAAUGCCUUCCAGGGGCAGCAUUCCCAGGCCAAUUCAGCAAAGCUAAAGAGAAAUACACAUGGUUGGGUUCAAUGUAAGCCAGAGGCGGAAAUAGCAACCACAGGAGGUGGUGAAGUUGAGGAAGAAAAUCAAGUGCUGUUGUUGGGCUGCUCUAUGAGGGCUCCAAGCAUGGGAUGGAGACCCGGACUACGUGUCCCCUGGGAUUUUAUAUUCUAAUAAUUUUCCCUUGCCACUCCUCUGGACCCUAUUCCAGAGUAGAGAAGGUCAGAAAAACUCUGACCAAUAACCAGGAUAAAUAAAUACGGAAAAUAGGAGUAGCCCGAAGGCUGGGAACAAGAAGGUGGGUAGACAGGCGCCCCUCAGGGAGGUGGAGGGGUUUUGUGAGAAGGGGUGGGACAGGGCGGAGACUCGGACCCCAGGAGCCGACGGCACCCCUAGGGGUGGAGGCAGACCCCGGGCUCUCUGAGGCUACCGGUGCCAGUCAUCCCGCCAAGGAGGGCGGCCUAAAUCCUCAAGGGACUCGCAGGCGCCUGAGAUUCCACUCCCAGCCCCUGAAAACACCACGGACUUCAGUUUCGGGGUUCUCAAAGGACUGCUCAAAUCCCGCAGAAAACGCAAAGCAUCAGAAACCCCCCGCACCACCCUCCCAAGUUCCUCAAGUCCGAGCGCCGGAACCAAAGGUUCCAGAAACGGGCGGGGCGACGGACGUGGGCCUGCGGGAAUCAGGGCCGAACGGAGCCGCGAGAGCGUCCGGAGCUCAGAAAUCUCGCCCGCGACGACCCCGGGAGGGCGGCGAGGUCUAGUACUAAUAAAGAGAAGAAGAUCGGAGCAGCUUUGACAUGAAUGGAUCCAUCUGGCCUGGUCUCCAUACAAGUUUCCUAUGAGUUUGGUCACAGACCCUUCAAGCAAUUGUUUAAAUGAGAAGAUGCUACAUUUUCAAGCAGAGACUGAUUCACUGUAGCUUAAUAAAUUUUUACUGAGCCCAUACUGUGUAUAUUUUGUCCUGAGCUUCAGAAACCAGGAAAUCCCAUUGGGUAAGGGGAGCCUGGUGCAGGGAUCAGCAGCCUGAAUGAAUUCUGCUAAACAACUUUCAUCUGGCUUUAGCUAUUUCUGUUGAGCUGUCAACACAGAUGUUGGGUUUUGCUCU
RNAcentral lists this long non-coding RNA (1390 nucleotides) under Homo sapiens (human). Its description in RNAcentral is "HSALNT0035368". Lineage: Eukaryota; Metazoa; Chordata; Mammalia; Primates; Hominidae. The record is from RNAcentral.